GUUCUUAGCCUGCCAGUUAAUGUUCUUCGUGAACUAGCGAACUGCUCAGUAACACGUGGAUAACCUACCCUUAGGACCGGAAUAACCCCGGGAAACUGGGGAUAAUACCGGAUAAGCCAUAGACGCUGGAAUGCCCUAUGGUUCAAAGCUCCGGCGCCUAAGGAUGGAUCUGCGGUCUAUCAGGUUGUAGUGGGUGUAACGUACCUACUAGCCGACGACGGAUACGGGUUGUGAGAGCAAGAGCCGGAGAUGGAUUCUGAGACACGAAUCCAGGCCCUACGGGGUGCAGCAGGCGCGAACACUUUACAAUGCGGGAAACCGCGAUGAGGGAACCCCGAGUGCCAGCAUCAAAUGUUGGCUGUCCAGAUGAUUAAAAAUCAUUUGUUAGCAAGGGCCGGGCAAGACCGGUGCCAGCCGCCGCGGUAACACCGGCGGCCCGAGUGGUAGCCGUUUUUAUUGGGUCUAAAGGGUCCGUAGCCGGCUUGAUAAGUCCUUUGGGAAAUCUGGCAGCUUAACUGUCAGGCUUCUAAGGGAUACUGCAGGCUUGGGACCGGAAGAGGUAAGGGGUACUCAGGGGUAGGAGUGAAAUCUUGUAAUCCUGGGGGACCAUCUGUGGCGAAGGCGCCUUACCAGAACGGGUCCUGACGGUGAGGGACGAAAGCUAGGGGAGCAAACCGGAUUAGAUACCCGGGCUAGUCCUAGCUGUAAACGAUGCUCGCUAGGUGUCAGACACGGUGCUGACCGUGUUUGGUGCCUGCAGGGAAGCCGUUUAAGCGAGCCACCUGGGAAGACGGUCGCAAGGCUGAAACUUAAAGGAAUUGGCGGGGGAGCACGUCAACGGGUGGAGCCUGCGGUUUAAUUGGAUUAACGCCGGAAAACUCACCGGGUGCGACAGCAAUAUGUAGGUAGGCUGAAGGUCUUUCCUUGAAUCGCUGAGAGGAGGUGCAAUGCCCGUCGUCAGUUCGUCUGUGAAAGCAUCUUGUUAAGGUCAGGCAACGAGCGAGACCCGCGCCCACAGUUGCCAGCAUGUUCUCUGGAACGAUGGGGUACACUGUGGGGACCGCCGCUCUAAGCCGGAGAAGGACCGGCUACGGUAGGUCAG
RNAcentral lists this ribosomal RNA (1102 nucleotides) under uncultured archaeon. RNAcentral describes it as "bacterial SSU rRNA". It matches the Rfam family "Archaeal small subunit ribosomal RNA", at positions 38 to 1149 of the family's 1478-position model. The record is from RNAcentral.